UAAAGCGGCGAACGGGUGAGGAAUACAUGGGUACUACCCUCGAGUUGGGGAAUAACUAGCCGAAAGGUUAGCUAAUACCGCAUACGACUCCUGGUCUGCGGAUCGGGAGGGAAAGCGAUACCGUGGGUAUCGCGCUCUUGGAUGGGCUCAUGUCCUAUCAGCUUGUUGGUGAGGUAAUGGGUCACCAAGGGUUCGACGGGUAACUGGUCUGAAGGACGAUCAGCAACUGGCACUGCGACACGGGCCAGACUCCUACGGGAGGCAGCAGUAAGGAAUAUUGCGCAAUGGGCGACAGCCUGACGCAGCGACGCCGCGUGGGGGAUGAAGGUCUUCGGAUUGUAAACCCCUUUCGGCAGGGAAAUGGAACGGGUAACCGUUCGGACGGUACCUGCAGAAGCAGGCACGGUAACUUCGUGCCAGCAGCCGCGGUAAUACCGAAGGUCGGCAAGCGUGCCGGAAUCCACCUGGGCGUAACAGGGAGCGUAAGCGGCUGGGGUUAAAGCCCUUCCGGUGGAAAAUCUCCCACGGGGGACCUAAACCGGAAAAACGUUGCGCCGCAAAGGGGACCUGGACCCCGGCUAACGACAGGACAUGAGGCAA
RNAcentral lists this ribosomal RNA (600 nucleotides) under uncultured bacterium. Its description in RNAcentral is "bacterial SSU rRNA". The stretch from base 1 to 452 matches the Rfam family "Bacterial small subunit ribosomal RNA", at positions 91 to 541 of the family's 1533-position model. The record is from RNAcentral.